GACGAACGCUGGCGGCGUGCCUAAUACAUGCAAGUAGAACGCUGAAGAGAGGAGCUUGCUCUUCUUGGAUGUGUUGCGAACGGGUGAGUAACGCGUAGGUAACCUGCCUGGUAGCGGGGGAUAACUAUUGGAAACGAUAGCUAAUACCGCAUAAAAUUGAUUAUUGCAUGAUAAUUAAUUGAAAGAUGCAACUGCAUCACUACCAGAUGGACCUGCGUUGUAUUAGCUAGUUGGUGAGGUAACGGCUCACCAAGGCGACGAUACAUAGCCGACCUGAGAGGGUGAUCGGCCACACUGGGACUGAGACACGGCCCAGACUCCUACGGGAGGCAGCAGUAGGGAAUCUUCGGCAAUGGGGGGAACCCUGACCGAGCAACGCCGCGUGAGUGAAGAAGGUUUUCGGAUCGUAAAGCUCUGUUGUAAGAGAAGAACGGGUGUGAGAGUGGAAAGUUCACACUGUGACGGUAUCUUACCAGAAAGGGACGGCUAACUACGUG
Molecule: ribosomal RNA, 497 nt
Filed under: uncultured bacterium
Lineage: Bacteria
Description: partial 16S ribosomal RNA
Rfam family: Bacterial small subunit ribosomal RNA
Source: RNAcentral